This 474-nucleotide ribosomal RNA is filed under the name Staphylococcus aureus. RNAcentral's name for it is "bacterial SSU rRNA". It matches the Rfam family "Bacterial small subunit ribosomal RNA", at positions 53 to 511 of the family's 1533-position model. The record is from RNAcentral. Lineage: Bacteria; Bacillati; Bacillota; Bacilli; Caryophanales; Staphylococcaceae.
ACUGCAGUCGAGCGAACGGACGAGAAGCUUGCUUCUCUGAUGUUAGCGGCGGACGGGUGAGUAACACGUGGAUAACCUACCUAUAAGACUGGGAUAACUUCGGGAAACCGGAGCUAAUACCGGAUAAUAUUUUGAACCGCAUGGUUCAAAAGUGAAAGACGGUCUUGCUGUCACUUAUAGAUGGAUCCGCGCUGCAUUAGCUAGUUGGUAAGGUAACGGCUUACCAAGGCAACGAUGCAUAGCCGACCUGAGAGGGUGAUCGGCCACACUGGAACUGAGACACGGUCCAGACUCCUACGGGAGGCAGCAGUAGGGAAUCUUCCGCAAUGGGCGAAAGCCUGACGGAGCAACGCCGCGUGAGUGAUGAAGGUCUUCGGAUCGUAAAACUCUGUUAUUAGGGAAGAACAUAUGUGUAAGUAACUGUGCACAUCUUGACGGUACCUAAUCAGAAAGCCACGGCUAACUACGUGCCAG